This 64-nucleotide transfer RNA is filed under the name Cryptocephalus quadripunctatus. Its description in RNAcentral is "tRNA-His". Lineage: Eukaryota; Metazoa; Arthropoda; Insecta; Coleoptera; Chrysomelidae. The record is from RNAcentral.
AUCUAAAUAGUUUAUUUAAAAUAUUAACUUGUGGCGUUAAUGAAAUCAUUAUUGGUUUUAGAUA